Molecule: long non-coding RNA, 669 nt
Organism: Vicia villosa (hairy vetch)
Lineage: Eukaryota; Viridiplantae; Streptophyta; Magnoliopsida; Fabales; Fabaceae
Exons: 3
Source: RefSeq, a predicted model, not a curated record
GAGAGAGAGAGAGGGGGAGAGAAUUGAAGAGUGUUUUGAGAUUGAUGAAGCGUGAAGAAGACCUUUGAAGAAUUUUUUGGUGAUUCUCGAGGAUGAAGAAAGGUUCUGAGGAAGAGCGAGAGAGUUUGUUGUGUUUCAGUUACAGAUGAGAUUAUGGUGAGAAGGAUUCUUGUUAGAGAUUGAAGAUGUGAGGAUUUUGUGAUGAAGAUUUGAAUUUGCAGAGAUGGUGAAUCGAGAGAGAAAGAUGAAGAUUGAAGGUUCUGCGGAAGAUGAGAUGAAGAUCGUUUUGAAGGUUCAUGGAGAAGGUUGGAGAAGCGAUGAAGAUGAUGGAGAUUGGAUCCAAAGUUUGUUACGUUCUCGUUUUUCUGAGUAUGAACUGAAUUGGAAUUCACGGCGAUAUGCUUGGAGUUUACAAGUUGACUCGGCUUGAAGUAAUGUAAAUUGUGGACUGUCGAUUGGAUUGAAUUUUAUUUUAUAAUGUAAAGGAUAAUUGUUUAUUUUUUAAUUUGGCUUUUGUAAUGGAUAUUUAUAUAUGGAUUGGACUUAGAAAUUUGGUUUAUGGGACCUGAAUGUAGAAUAAUGGAGGUCAUUUGGAUUUUGAAUUUUGAAUGGGCUUGACAAAUGGGUUUUUAUCUUGUAUCGAACAUAUUUGAAACUCGAGUCUUGAAA